UACGGAGGAUUCAAGCGUUAUCCGGAUUUAUUGGGUUUAAAGGGUGCGUAGGCGGUCGGAUAAGUUAGAGGUGAAAUCCCGGGGCUCAACUUCGGAAUUGCCUCUGAUACUGUUCGGCUAGAGAGUAGUUGCGGUAGGCGGAAUGUAUGGCGUAGCGGUGAAAUGCUUAGAGAUCAUACAGAACACCGAUUGCGAAGGCAGCUUACCAAGCUACUUCUGACGUUGAGGCACGAAAGCGUGGGGAGCAAACAGG
RNAcentral lists this ribosomal RNA (253 nucleotides) under uncultured bacterium. RNAcentral describes it as "partial 16S ribosomal RNA". It matches the Rfam family "Bacterial small subunit ribosomal RNA", at positions 524 to 776 of the family's 1533-position model. The record is from RNAcentral.